Molecule: long non-coding RNA, 2563 nt
Filed under: Sus scrofa (pig)
Lineage: Eukaryota; Metazoa; Chordata; Mammalia; Artiodactyla; Suidae
Description: lncRNA (ENSSSCG00055025467.1, ENSSSCG00065026076.1)
Source: RNAcentral
ACACACUGAAGUUCUACAGAGCCUGUGACACACAUCUUUACUCCUCUGGCUUUGAGAAGAUUAUAGAGAGAGAGAGGUUGAGUGUUUCAGCUACUGCUGGAGAAACGUAGGGAUUUUAGCCUUUUAGCCACAGCCCUGGGCACAGAGACAGCUUCUAGAAGCUGCUCUCAAUCCUUGGCUCAAGGACCCUCUCUUCCUUCUUCAAAGCCAACAGUGUUAUAUCUCUUCAAUCCUGCUUUUGUAAGGAGAUCAACCUUUAAUCACAGCCAGGUUGCUGACCUGAAGCCAUCCAUGCAAACGGCAGCUUUCAAGGAGCUGUGGCCCUGGUGCUCAGGGCCCCCAGUGGCUGGCCAUACUCCAUUGUGAACCACCGGUAAAUGCUCAAAACUUUUGCUCCAUUCCCAGGGGACCCUCCCAUUAAAAUGAUUUUGCAUUCACUACCUGCCAACAGGACCUGUAAGCGAGCCAAAAGGAGUAGCAGAUUAAGCAUAAUUAUGAAUUCUGAAUGGAAUGGAGUAGUUGGAGAUUGUUUUCCAUGAAAGACCUAUUUUUUUCCUACUGAAAAUUCACAUAAGGAAGUAUUGAAUACUCUGUGAAGUCUUUAUAUUUAAACGUGCCCCUUGCAAUUAAUGCUUCUCCCUGCGCUUUCAUGACACAGAGAGAAAACCUCCCAAACUUGAAAGCUGUUCUUAGAAUUAGUUUUGGGUUUGCUCAAGAUUUGUAUCUAAUCAGCAUUGAAUUUUCUAGAUAAGUAUUUUAACAUUUAUUAACAAGAAUCGGUACCAAAUGCAUUUCCCAGGCUUAGUUGUCAAUGGAUGGAUAAUCCCUCAGGAUUUAAAAACCUGCACAACUGAGUAAGGAUUCAAAGACUUCUUGCAGGCAUUUCUUGAGUGUUUAAUGUGUCCUCAUCAGGAAAAAGUCAGUUGUACCAUUUAUUCGUUUGUCUUUUCUUUUUCACAAAUAGAAAAAGGAAAAUCCAAGAUGCUGAACAUAAAAAUAUUGCCCUGCCUGAAGACACAUCAGUUUACUACCAUGAAUGUUUACAAUGGGACAACUUUUCCUGAUUUGAUAUAAAAUUACUAACAAAACUCACCAUUGUUUUUCUCAGGUUGGCCCUAUCUUUUUCCCUCUUCUAAAUAUCUGUACCUACAUGUAGGAGCAGCAUUCAUGAUUUCUUUAUGUCUGUCUAAAUAUGCUACUUAUCUUUCCUAAAGUGUGUUAUCAACUAUCAAAUACCGUUAAAAAAGUAAGAUCAGAAGUUGUGUGAAUUCAAGAGUUCCUAUUGUGGCUCAGAGGGUUAAGAAUCCAGCUAGUGCUCUUAGGAUGUAGGCUUGAUCCUUGGCCAUGCUCAGUGGGUUAAAGGAUCUGGCUUUCCCGUGAGCCGUAGUGUAGGCUGCAGAAGUGGCUCGGAUUCUGUGUUGCUGUUGCUGUGGCGUAGGCCGACAGCUGCAUCUCCAAUUCAGCCCCUAACCCAGGAAUUUCUGGAUGCUGGGGGUGCAGCCCUAAAAAGACAAAAAAAUAAAACAAACAAAAAACCCAAAAAAGGUUUUGGGAAUUCAAGUAAAAAUAUUGAAUUUUUUAGCAAGCCUAACAGAAAGCUGGAAAAUGAUAAUGAUAAUUAUACAACAAUAACACUCAUCUCAGCUGGAAGUUACCAUGGACGUACAAUGUGUCAGACACCAAGUUUUCCACACCUAUUAUCUCUGAAAUCAUCAUCAAUCUGUAUGGGAGAUACUGCUAUUAUCUUUAUAGAUAAAGAAACUGAAGCCUAGGGAGUUUAAGUUAGUUUUCUAAGAAUGAGAAGCAGUUUUUGGCCAGAGGCUGAAAUUUGAAUCCUGACAUACAUAUGUUCCAUGGAUACUAAAUAUAUAUAUUUUUAAAAAGUGUUUAAUUGCUUUCAGAGUAAGCUUAUAGAACAUGAAAAGUCAGUCUCAUGUCUUUCUAAUCAUCUUUAUAAAAAACUCUCUGGUUUCUUACAUUCUUGAAGAUUAUUUAAAUUUAUCCAUUUUAUGUGGUUUAAAGGCAACAAAUGCAUUUUGUUAAAAGAAAACAUAAAUAUUUAUUUUAAGCUGCACAGAGCCCAAAGCCCAGUCGAGUUAAAUUUUCACUUUUAUUCAAUUGCAUAUUUGAGAGAGAAAAAUAAAACUUACUUUUAUUUAUCAUGUUAAAUCAUUGAUAUGGUACAUUAAUAAUUAAUAAAACUUUUUUUGAUUGUUGACAAAAUUACGUUUAACAAUUUUUGUUAUUUUUAUAAAAAUAUUUACUGAAGAAAUUUAUGUAAGAUAAGAACAAAAUACAGGAAGAUGUAUUCUGCCCUCAUGUAAUCCAUCAGUGCCUCCUCAUAAAUCCAACACCCCAUAGAAUUAAUAGUUCAUGUUUUUAACAAUGAUGGAAGUAUUUUUUUUUUUGCAAGACAAUUAUAUUGCUUCCUUGCUUGCUGAUAUUUGGUUAUUUAAGUGGGUAAAAACAGUAUAUACUCAAUCCUACAUUUAUGCUGAGUACUUAUUAAAUGCAAGAACCCUUAUUUGUCCAAAUUUUGUUACUGUUCUUAAACUGCAAAAAA